AGCUCCAGUAGCGUAUAUUAAAGUUGUUGCAGUUAAAAAGCUCGUAGUCGAACCUCGGGCCUGGGACACGGACCUGGCUGUUGCCUGCGAUCUAUGUCUUGGGCCUUCUGCCGGACGAACGCGUCUUCCCUUAAAUGGGUGGGCGUGCUAGUUCGGACAUUUACUGUGAAAAAAUUAGAGUGUUCAAAGCAGGCCUACGCCGGAAUACACUAGCAUGGAAUAAUAGAAUAGGACUUGGGUUCUGUUCCGUUGGUUGGUAGAACCGAAGUAAUGAUUAAUAGGGAUAGUUGGGGGCAUUCGUAUUUCAUUGUCAGAGGUGAAAUUCUUGGAUUUUUGAAAGACGAACAACUGCGAAAGCAUCUGCCAAGGAUGUUUUCA
Molecule: ribosomal RNA, 378 nt
Filed under: uncultured eukaryote
Lineage: Eukaryota
Description: SSU rRNA
Rfam family: Eukaryotic small subunit ribosomal RNA
Source: RNAcentral